CAUGCACCGGUGUGGUCCCUCGGCCGGGCCUGCACCCUCUUGUAAUCCAGGACCCCUCGGGGGAUUAAAGAACCAGUUAUGGCCCGAUCCCGCAGGCCAGGCCGAGGGACCCCACUGGUGCAUG
Molecule: microRNA precursor, 124 nt
Filed under: Myotis brandtii (Brandt's bat)
Lineage: Eukaryota; Metazoa; Chordata; Mammalia; Chiroptera; Vespertilionidae
Description: mir-9193 microRNA precursor family
Rfam family: mir-9193 microRNA precursor family
Source: Rfam by way of RNAcentral